GACAGAGGUGCCAAGCGUUAGGCGGAAUCACUGGGCUUAAAGCGUGUGUAGGCGGAUCGUUAAGUACCUUGUGAAAUCCCACGGCUCAACCGUGGAACUGCUGGGUAUACUGGCGGUCUUGAGCCACCUAGGGGCAACUGGAACAAGCGGUGGAGCGGUGAAAUGCGUAGAUAUCAGGAGGAACACCGGUGGCGAAGGCGGGUCUCUGGGCAACAACUGACGCUGAGGAGCGAAAGCGUGGGGAGCGAACAGG
Molecule: ribosomal RNA, 253 nt
Filed under: uncultured bacterium
Lineage: Bacteria
Description: partial 16S ribosomal RNA
Rfam family: Bacterial small subunit ribosomal RNA
Source: RNAcentral